AUCGCGCUUGAUUGAUUUGUUUGUUUUACUUUAUUUAGGGUUUUAUAAGGUUUUGGGGUUUUCGUUCUUCCAAUACUUUCAUGUUACGUCGGUGGAAGAUUUUGGCGUGAUUUUGCUUUGCAUGGCUGUGAAACUCAUGUUUGUUGGUUUCAUUGCUAACUGCUUUUAGUGGUGUAAUGUUGAUGCUCGUUAUCGUUGGAGAAAAUUUAUUGGUAAUAUUAUGUCUUGUGGAAAUGAAGUGAUCUCUGGAGACAUGCAAUGAUUGAUUGGAUGGGUUGCUGAGAUAAUUGUGAAGUCACUGGUUGUAGCAGAAGACAACAUGAUGAAGUGGAAAUUGAUAUGAAAUCUAUGGGUAUCCCACAGAGGGAUUAUCGAGAGGAUUUAUAAUUGCUUGUCAUUUGACACAAAGAUUGUUUUAGAACAAGUAGAUGCUGAUUCUGAUUUUUUAAUCCCAUGAUACUAUGUAUGGACUGGUUAAGAUAUUCUAAUCAAUAGCAUUGGGGUCAUCAUAUGGAGUGUGAUUAAGAUAUUCCGAUUUAUUCGUUUUCCUUUUCAAUGCGAUUAAGUUGGUUAUGUAAAUGCUUAUGAGGCAGUUUAUCAGCAAAGUGAAUACCAAAUAUCUUGCUGUGUUGUGUUAGCAUUUAUAUAACCAACUUACUCGCAUUGAAAAGGAAAAUGAAUAAAUCAAUUACGUCAAACUAUAAAAUUGAUUAUUUUGACUAUACAGUUGCUUGUAGCUUCUCCGUUUUCAUCAUUUGUAUAAUUAAAUUUUAUGUUGUU
This is a long non-coding RNA of Tripterygium wilfordii, 780 nucleotides long. RefSeq lists it as uncharacterized. NCBI's taxonomy places the organism in Eukaryota, Viridiplantae, Streptophyta, Magnoliopsida, Celastrales, Celastraceae. The record is from RefSeq and is a predicted model, not a curated record. The transcript has 2 exons.